AUUCCCAGAAGCGGGGCCAGGGCAGUGCGCACAGUGAGGAGAGCAGGUGUGUGUGAGGUUGAAACAAAACGUUCAAAGCCCCCUCGGAAGCCCAUCCACAGUUGAGGAAACUGGGCCCUGAGACAUUAACUUGCCCAAAAGAUCACAGUGGGCAACAUUCUAGAGCACAGUGGAAGCCGACAGCAAUGUCAGUGAAGAUGGAAAACAGAACGUGGAGAGAGAUGUAGCUUACUAGAGCCCUGUGGCUUCAAUCCCCACCAGGAAUGUCGUUUAAGAGGAAGGUGAUCUAGCACAAAUUCACAUUUGCUUGAGGAAGAAUACAAAUAGAAGCAGCCUCGGGGAGCGGGCGGGGCUGGGGAAUCCCUGGCCUCCCUCCUUUCCUUCUGGCUGAUCUUCUGCAGAAGACCUCACAAAAGGGAGCUGAGGGGCCAGGAAGCCUGUGGAUGCCCUGAAGAAGAAUGAGUAGAUCUGAAAGGGCAGUAGAACAGAACCAGAAUCCAGUGCAAAGGCCCUGGGGCAGGAGUUCGCAGGAGAAGCGGGGAGAAGGAACCAGCCUAUGAUCCAGGAAUGCAGUGAACAAGAUUUGGGAAGUUGACAGAGAAUAUGAGGCCUCCUCUCCAAACAGAAACUCCAGGACGCUUGGUUGAGUCACUGACACAUGCACAGUGCUGAGCAUAGUACCAGACACCAGAGUCUGUGUUCCAGAAAUGGAAGAAUAGGACAUAUCACACACCAACCGUGUGCAAAGCACUCUACCUAAAGAUCAGCGCUAACAGAGGAAUAAGCAGAGGCCUCCAGGAGCAAAGAGUGAAAAGUCUCCCAAGGAUUCAAGUACGGGGGAAGUGGGUGGAGCUUUCACCGUAGAAUCUUUCCUGGAGAAAAAGCAAAGAGUGGGACAACAAUGAAGGCAUUAAAAAUAACUGUCAAGUUGAAGAAAAAGUAUUUUGCCAAAGACUAAGGAUUCGGAGAUGACUACGGAAAGGAAAACUAAGCUCCAUGAGAAGAGGGGACUUGCCCAUGUGGCUCAGGGCUCUAUGCCCAGUGCCCUAGACAGUGCCUGACUGUGUGUGCGGAAUGAAUGAAUAACCUUGGUGAUCCACCCAAUGGCACUGGCGCUCAGUGACCUCAUCUGAAAUGGAAUAAGGAUUUUAUGAAAAUGCAUGUUUGUUGAAUAACACAAAGGAGAAUAUUAUCUAAUGUGGCUUGGGGUCAAUAUCAAGCAGUAAUAUUGUUUUAGUAUUAAUUAGAGCCGUGUCAUUGCAAGAGCUGGUAAGAAUACUGGUCUUGUUUCCAACUGAUGAAAACACUCAUACAGAUUAGGGUUUUUAUGAGUAAAUUUCAGAUC
This 1345-nucleotide long non-coding RNA is filed under the name Homo sapiens (human). RNAcentral's name for it is "LARGE antisense RNA 1". The record is from RNAcentral. Lineage: Eukaryota; Metazoa; Chordata; Mammalia; Primates; Hominidae.